AAAGUUAUUUUUUUGUACAGUAGGCAGUGAAUUUUUUUGUUUUGUACAGUAGGCAGUGAAAAAGUUUUCUAGGUUUUGUACGUGCUAGAAAAGCGUUAAGUAUGUAAUCAAUCGCGUACGUUUACGCAUACGUAUCAAGCGAACGGAAAGUAAGAAUUUGUAUGGAUUGGUGACCGCAAAUGAAUGGCCGCCCGAAAUUGCUGAAAUUGUAUAAGAAUUCUGAUGGGCGAUCCUUAAGUGCAUGAAUCCAACAUAUUACAUCUGAUCUGCUUGUUACGAACCUUACUGACUGAAACAUUAAAAGUGUAAAAUCAUCUGCACAUAAUGGAUUGUAAGGUCGGAUUGUCUCAUCGUGAGUUGUGUGUGAUUUACCUGAUAUUUUCAUGCGCAAUCAUGCCGUAGACAUAACAGUGGUAAUGAAUAUCGCUGCUACACCAUAAAAGUACACAACGGAACAAUAAGCGUCACAAUUGCUGGAAUGUCAUGUUAGCAAACCCAUUUAGACAAACUAUAAAUUGCAAGAGCAGCUAGUACCCCGGUGGUAGAAUCAUCAUGAUUUCUCAUUCUGUCUAAUUGACAAUUGUUACCAACAGAACGUAAAAGCGUGAUGAUUUUGCCGCCAGGGUAGUAACGGAUCGAAUUUAAAUCACCUUUUUGUUUGAGUUACAAUGAAUUGAAUAAGUGACCAAUUAUCUUAAUUAUGAAUCCUGAUAUUUGUUAAGUUUAAGAUUUUGUCGCGGAAUGUGCAGCUAUAGUGUAACGCAAAUAUGACCGUACAAUUUAGGGAUAUGAAGUAAG
Long non-coding RNA from Anopheles coustani, 798 nucleotides. RefSeq lists it as uncharacterized. NCBI's taxonomy places the organism in Eukaryota, Metazoa, Arthropoda, Insecta, Diptera, Culicidae. The transcript has 4 exons. The record is from RefSeq and is a predicted model, not a curated record.